Molecule: ribosomal RNA, 395 nt
Filed under: uncultured bacterium
Lineage: Bacteria
Description: bacterial SSU rRNA
Rfam family: Bacterial small subunit ribosomal RNA
Source: RNAcentral
GUGCCAGCAGCCGCGGUAAUACGUAGGGGGCGAGCGUUGUCCGAAUUCACUGGGCGUAAAGCGCGCGUAGGCGGACCUUUAAGUCAGAGGUGAAAUGCCGAGGCUCAACCUCGGAACUGCCUUUGAAACUGGGGGUCUUGAGGUAUGGAGAGGGAAGUGGAAUUCCAGGUGUAGCGGUGAAAUGCGUAGAUAUCUGGAGGAACACCCGUGGCGAAGGCGGCUUCCUGGUCAUAUCCUGACGCUGAGGUGCGAAAGCUAGGGGAGCGAACGGGAUUAGAUACCCCGGUAGUCCUAGCCGUAAACGAUGGAUACUAGGUGUUAGAGGUAUCGACCCCUCUAGUGCCGCAGCUAACGCAUUAAGUAUCCCGCCUGGGGAGUACGACCGCAAGGUUGAA